Molecule: ribosomal RNA, 256 nt
Filed under: uncultured bacterium
Lineage: Bacteria
Description: partial 16S ribosomal RNA
Rfam family: Bacterial small subunit ribosomal RNA
Source: RNAcentral
GACGAGAGGGGCAAGCGUUAUUCGGAAUGAUUGGGCGUAAAGCGCACGUAGACUGUUUAGAAAAUUUGAGAGAAAAACCUCAAAGCUUGACUUUGAAACUUCUCUUUUUGAAUUCCUAAACUUGAGUGAGUAAGAGGAGAAUGGAAUUCCUGGCGUAGAGGUAAAAUUUGUUGAUAUCAGGAGGAACACCAAAAGCGAAGGCAAUUCUCUGGGACUCAACUGACGUUGAGGUGCGACAGCGUGGGGAUCAAAAGGG